This is a long non-coding RNA of Lethenteron reissneri (Far Eastern brook lamprey), 6437 nucleotides long. RefSeq lists it as uncharacterized. The record is from RefSeq and is a predicted model, not a curated record. Lineage: Eukaryota; Metazoa; Chordata; Hyperoartia; Petromyzontiformes; Petromyzontidae.
CCCGUGGUGGUGAGAGGGGGUCCCGUGGUGGUGAGAGGGGGUCCCGUGGUGGUGAGAGGGGGUCCCGUGGUGGUGAGAGGGGGUCCCGUGGUGGUGAGAGGGGGUCCCGUGGCGAUUCCCCCGCGGGAUGUUACUGCCAUGAGUCGCAGCAACUCGCGUAAUGGGCAACGGCAGUGAAACGACACUGCGACAUUUUGAGCGCAUAACAUCGCGUGAUUGCUGCUGAUGCUGCUGUACAAGUAAUCCUGCCACACGAAAGAAGUGACCGCCUAGCUGACCCUCGCCAUGGCUGAGAAACAGAAGACUGAAGAGGCCGAUGUCGGUUCGACGAGAAGACGUCGAACCAUCAUCACGAUGGAGAUGAAGAUGGACAUAAUCAGGCGGUCCGAGAAAGGCGAAACUUCUGCGGCCAUAGGCCGUGCACUAGGCCUCAACCGGUCGACGAUCGGGACGAUAAUAAAAGACAAAGAGCGAAUCGUGGAGCACGUGAAGAUCGCGGCGCCUGUAAGGUCGAUCAUCAUCACGAAGCAAAGUUGCGUGCUCAGCGAAAUGGAAAAACGAUUGCUGAUGUGGAUCGAGGACCAGAAUCGGCGGGGUGCGCCCGUAAGCCUCUUGCAGAUCCAGAAGAAAGCGAAAAGUCUCUACGAGCAUUUGAAGCCGAAGCUUGGCAAGGGUGCGAGCAAGAGUGACAAGUUCGUCGCGAGUCGUGGAUGGUUUCAGAGAUUCAAGUCGAGGGCGAAUUUGCGCCACGUUAAAUUGAGUGCGGCGGCCACCGCGAGUGCUCGUGGUGAAGAAGCAGCAGCAGCAGAAUGCCCAGACGAUUGGGCCGAUACGAUGAGCGAGGAGGAGGGCUUCAGUGCCCAGCAGGCGUCCAACUUGGACGAGACGGGAAGUUUGUGCAAGAAGACGCCUGGUCGCACCUACAUCGCAAAAGAGGGCGAGCAAGCGCCACGGGUUGGAGCUGCUGCGGACGAUUCCGGCGCGGGUGGGGACACCGGUGGACACGGCCGCUGACGAAGUGGCCGAGGAGUUGGGAAAGCAACUUAAGCCGGAGGCUGAGGCUGAUGAUGAUGAUGCUCAGCAGUUGCUCGGUACCCAUUCGCAAGAGCUCACCAACGUGAAUGUCGUGGAACUUGAGGCACAGACGUCUGCAGGCGAAGCUGAGGUCGCUGAUGUUACGGAGCCAAAGAGAUUCACAACCAAACAAUUGGCGGAAGCUUUCCGGCACUUUGAAGCUGGCUUGGCUCUCCUUGAGGCACAAGACCCCGUCCGCGUCUCGAUUCGCCAACAUCGCCAGAGUUGUAUGCGGUGGGCUGAGUUGCUACAAAGAGAUUUAUGAAAAAGAAAUGAAGGUUGAAAGGAAGCCAAAGCCGACCCCAUCAACAUCGUCAGCAAUAACUCCAGAAAAGUCUCCCGAAGGGUGUCCUGCACCAUCCUCCUCGCCUGCAUCGCUGUCUUUUUACAAUUAGGCAUCUAUCCUACACAAGCAAGUCAGCAUGAGUGUACUCAAGGUUCAAUAGGCGCUGUGAGGAGGUGUUGUACGGAGAGCUUCUAUUCAGGACCACGAGCACCAUGGCAACAGGUGCACUCACAGUGACACAGGGCCAACAUGGCUCGCCUGGUCCUCUACAGGCAUUUUACCGAGCCAUGCUUCACUGGACUCGCCAGACAUUGUCGUAGCCUGGAACUAAUCGAGAGCUCUUUGAGAUUCAGUAUUUUGUUGUCAUUAAACUGAGAGCCAGAUGAGAUUGCUUUGUCCUGUUCUUAUAGCAUAGGACACCACUCAGAUUGACUACAGCAUUUAAUUAAGGUAUCAAUAUACAGGCAGUCCCUGAUCUUGCGUACACGCAACUUACGAACACUUGCACUUAUGAAGGAGAUUCCAUGAGAAAUUACAUUUUUCAACCAUCCAACUUGCGAACGUGAACUUGCACUUGUGAACUGAACCGCGGAACUAUUUGGUUCGGCGCAGCGAUCCUCCGCGCGAUGAGUCUCAGCAUCCCACGUAACACCCAACGGGAGUGAACCGGUCGGCGACAUUUUGCAUCCAUAACCUCUCGCAUGCUGUUUAUGCUUCUGUGCAUACGUUUAGAUAUCGUUACUGACCCUCACCACAUCUGAGAAAACGAAGACUGACGGAACUGAUGUUGGUGUGUCGAGAAAACACCGCACCAUUACUAUGAAGGUGGACAUAAUCAAGCGGUCCAAGAACGGUGAAACGCCUACGACCAUGGGAUUAGGCAUUAACCCGUCCACGAUAGAAAAAAUAAGACAAAUAUCGAAUUGUCGAACAUGUGAAGGGCUCGGUGCCUCUAAAGUCCAGCAUAAUUACAAAGCAAAGGGAGUGCUGUGAUCAGCAAAAUGAAAAAACAGUUACUUAUAUGGAUUAGGACCAGAAUCGGCAUCAUGUGCCGGUAAGCCGUUUGCUGAUCCAGGUAAAAGCAAAACGUUUGUGCGAACAUUUAAAGGCUAAGCUAGGUGAAAGUGAAGAGUUUGUUGCAAUAGAUUUAAAACGAGGACAAAUUUAGCGAAACAUUAAAUUGAGUGGGGAAGCUGCUAGUGCUGAUGUUGAAGCAGGUCUUGAAUUUCCAAAUCGUUUGGCCGAUGUAAUUAUUUAGGAGGGGGGGGGGGGUUAAGUGCUCAGCAGGUGUUCAACGUCGACAAGAUGGGAAGUUUUUGGAAGAAGAUGCCUGAUCGUACUUACAUUGCAAAAAAGUCUAUGCCAGGGUUUAAAGCUGCUGCGGACCAUUCCAGGGCAGUUGUGGACACGAUAGACUGAUGAAACGGUUGAAUUGGGAAAGCAACUUCAACCGGAGGUUGAUGAUGCUCAGCAGUUGCUCGGCUCCCAUUCGCAAGACCUAACCAACCUGAAUAUCAUGGAACUGGAGGCACAGACGUUUGCAGACGAAACUGAGGUCACUGACAUUUUGGAGCCCAAGAGAUUCACAACCAACCAUUGUGGGGGAAGCUUUCCAGCAUUUUAAGCUGGCUUGGCUGUCCUUGAGGCACAAGACCACGACGCGUCUAGAUUUACCAAUGUCGCAAGAGUUGCCAACGAUGGGCUGAGUUGCAACAAAGAGUUUUAUGAAAAAGAAGAUAGCAUCUGUCCAAGUUUCCUUUGGUGGGGUUUUCAUGACGUUUGAAAGGGAGCCAGAGCCGACCCCAUCAACAUCGUGAGCAAUGUCUCCGGAAAAGUCUCCUGAGAAGUCCCCUUCACCAUCCUCGCCUGGAUCACUAUCUUCCAAUGAAGCAUCUAUCUCUGUUACACAAGCAAGCCAGCAUCAAAACUAGAGUUCAGUUUCUUCAGCUGUCAACAAGUACUACCGGGAGAAGUAGGACUGUGGGAGAGGUGUCGCUUGUAUGCCACCGUGACCCCUGACUGCAGCUAUCAUGCAGCUCGGCAAAAUAAGUGGGCCAAGGUUCACUAGGCGCUGUGAGGAGGUGUUGUACGGACAGCGUCUAUUCGGGACCACGAGCACCAAUUGCAACAGGUUCACUAGGCGCUGUGAGGAGGUGUUGUACGGACAGCGUCUAUUCGGGACCACGAGCACCAUGCCAACAGGUUCACUAGGCGCUGUGAGGAGGUGUUGUACGGGCAGCGUCUAUUCAGGACCACGAGCACCAUGCCAACAGGUUCACUAGGCGCUGUGAGGAGGUGUUGUACGGACAGCGUCUAUUAGGGACCACGAGCACCAAUUGCAACAGGUUCACUAGGCGCUGUGAGGAGGUGUUGUACGGACAGCGUCUAUUCGGGACCACGAGCACCAAUUGCAACAGGUCCAUCUAGGCACUGUGAGGAGGUGUUGUACGGACAGCGUCAAAUCAGGCCCAUGACCACGAGCACCAUGCCAACAGGUGCACUCACAGUCACUUGUAACCCCUUUACACUGGUGCAUCUGACCCGUGCCAGCACAGGGCCAAAAUAGCUGGUGGAUUUCCACCGGCAUGUUACCAAGUCAGAACAGAGCCAUGCUACGAUCGCCUCACCAGACCUUCUUGGGCUGUGCAUCAGUUUAGCUCCAGAGAUCUGUACAACGUUUCUCCACAAAUUUAAAGACUCCAUCUCGCACCACGAGUGAUGACUCCGUAUUCUCGCUAAGGGCUCCCAUUUUCUGCGUUGAAUCCAGCUUUGUGAGGUUCGAUUGUCUUUUGAAGAAGAGAGAUCAUUUCUGUAGGCCUUGGCCAAUCCGGCGUGGCUGGGUUGGGACCAGGGGAACUAUGUUGCUGUGCCCUUUGCACCCUCCCAGUGUGCGUGCCUGGCAUCUGGCACUUGUUAUCUUUCACUUGAUGAACAACAUGGGCUGUUACUCUGAAGCAAUCGACGUUUGGAUGACUUGCGUUUAACCUCUCCAGCAUUCUGAUUAGCUUCCAGCCGCACAUUAGAACUCGAGCUUUUGGGGUUACGGCAGUUGCUCUAAUUGCAUGAGUCGUAAUUAUGUAAAAGUAUUUUGAAAGGGCGCUUGGGACGAUGCCAGCACCAGGAUUGGAAGGCGGUGGCAGUGCGAGCGUCGAGCGUAUGGCACGACAUGGUGUGAACGUGGUGCAAUCCACAGCAGUUGCUGAUUUUCGCGUCGUGCUAAGCGAUGUAUCGGUCCAAAAUGCCACGUUCCUGUAAGGUGUGCAUCGUGAAAGUACGUUGGCGCACACCAGCUCAUGUUGUAACGAUAACGAGUACAAGGGAACGAGCAUACAAAAAAAACCUCACCACUUGUUAUCUAACACUGCCUGAUAAGACUUUACAGACAUUGUCUCCUUUUAUAAAGCAGAAGAGAGAGAGAGAUAGAUCGCAGUUUUGGAGAUCAAACUACACACUGGGGCUGUGAGAAAACUUGAACAUUUAUUUUUAUAUAAAGUUGCCCAAUUGUACAUCAGUAGAUGGUGAAUAUCAAACAAACUAAUCGAAAGUCAAAAUUAAUCAAGGAAUCUCUUGUAAAUAAAAAUUAUGACCUCACCCAGGAAAUAUGGCAAUUACCGUCAGGCACUGCCUCACCUGCACACGGCGGUGUGUGAGCUGACCCCCACACCCUGGGGUCAACGUGACCACAGCCCACUGGAUGUGGUCGGUGACAGGCCACGUCCUCCUCGCACUCCGUCCACGAGUGGCCCGUGACUCGACAGUGGGCCCUCCCUCCUCCCCGAUGCCGAUGAAGCGGCCGUCGCCUAACUCGGCAAGACGAGCGAAUGAUAGUAAAAUUAAACAUCUUCAUCAAAUCCGUAGAUUUGGAUCCUGGAAUAAUAGGGCAGUGAGGCAGAGCCUCUGUCACCUGUCGUGUUUCCUGGGAGAGGUCGUAGCUCAGAAGAUUGUAACCUGACAAUAGAAUGGUUUUACAUGUGUCGGUGUUGACUGUAACAUUGUGUUUACUUUACUUAAUUUACAAUAAUUCAUUUACAAUAAUAAUUUGUAUACCAGCUUUGGGCAGGUAUACAAAUUCGGAGACCUCAGUCAAAAUUACAAAGUCAUUCUAAGGCAUAUGGAGUACCAUUUUGUAGGUAUUUGUCUCGUAAAAAAAAUAAUUGGCUCGUCAUAACUGACACGUAAGUGUGACACAUACACGAAUCUGAACCCUCACUAUCCAUCUCAGUGUGGAUCAGUGGUUCUUAACCUUUUUGGAGGUACCGAACCCCACCAGUUUCAUAUGCGCAUUCACCGAACCCUUCUUAAUUGUAAAAAUAAAAUAUGAUUUUUUCAAAUUCAAAACAUAGGUAUAUGUUUUACUGGUGCACAAUCAUAUUAGUCGGGUGUGUGUCUUAACCUCCGCCGAACCCCUGAGACUGACUCACCGAACCUCUGGGGUUCGAUCGAACCCAGGUUAAGAACCACUGGUGUGGAUGAACAAGUUAUUUCAUGUUAGCAUAACACCAUGGUAUAUCAUGAGCACAGAAGUGUACAAUUUAUUACGAUGAGAACUACACUGCUAUUUGGAUGACUUACUGUGCCCAAAACAGAAGCCACUCGAUGACAUGGCCCAACAGUGUGGCCCAGCAGGAGUGCAUUUCCCACUUGUUUCAGAAGUUCACAGUUGGAAUUCAGCAGACCGCCCUGGUUAUUACCGCGGCGCAUACUAACUGUAAAAAAUGCUCCGUGCCAUCUGCUUCACGCACAGUGGACAAAGAUUCCCGGGACAUAAUUUAAAACGAGGAGGCAAUUUUCCGGCAUUACGGGUCAAUGUUUUCCCAUUUGACAAAUUACACCGCAAAUGACUCAAUUGGGAUUAUACGGAGUAAUCGGUGCCCCCCUACUGGCAGACUGAUAGUCCCUUACCGGCUGUUACAAAUCUAAAUGCAAAAGAUGAUUGACUGUACGUAUACCCACAUCUUUAAAGAGUUUGAAAUGUAUGUUUGAUGUUGUGGAGCUGCAGCUGUUUGACAUUCUCUUUGAGCGUUGGUGAUAUGUUUCUGGAUUAGUUCUAAUAAAUAUUCCAUGCGCUCGGAACAAG